This 460-nucleotide ribosomal RNA is filed under the name uncultured bacterium. RNAcentral describes it as "partial 16S ribosomal RNA". It matches the Rfam family "Bacterial small subunit ribosomal RNA", at positions 338 to 795 of the family's 1533-position model. The record is from RNAcentral.
CCUACGGGAGGCAGCAGUGAGGAAUAUUGGUCAAUGGACGAGAGUCUGAACCAGCCAAGUCGCGUGAAGGAUGACUGCCCUCUGGGUUGUAAACUUCUUUUAUAAAGGAAUAAAACGAUGCCCGUGGGCCUUUUUGCAUUUACUUUAUGAAUAAGGAUCGGCUAACUCCGGUCCAGCAGCCGCGGUAAUACGGAGGAUCCGAGCGUUAUCCGGAUUUAUUGGGUUGAAAGGGAGCGUAGAUGGGUUGUUAAGUCAGUUGUGAAAGUUUGCGGCUCAACCGUAAAAUUGCAAUUGAUACUGGCAGUCUUGAGUACAGUUGAGGUAGGCGGAAUUCGUGGUGUAGCGGUGAAAUGCUUAGAUAUCACGAAGAACACCGAUUGCGAAGGCAGCUUACUAAACUGUGACUGACAUUGAUGCUCGAAAGUGUGGGUAUCAAACAGGAUUAGAUACCCGGGUAGUC